Molecule: ribosomal RNA, 497 nt
Filed under: uncultured bacterium
Lineage: Bacteria
Description: partial 16S ribosomal RNA
Rfam family: Bacterial small subunit ribosomal RNA
Source: RNAcentral
GAUGAACGCUGGCGGCGUGCCUAAUACAUGCAAGUCGAGCGAACGGACGAGAAGCUUGCUUCUCUGAUGUUAGCGGCGGACGGGUGAGUAACACGUGGAUAACCUACCUAUAAGACUGGGAUAACUUCGGGAAACCGUAGCUAAUACCGGAUAAUAUUUUGAACCGCAUGGUUCAAAAGUGAAAGACGGUCUUGCUGUCACCUAUAGAUGGAUCCGCGCUGCAUUAGCUAGUUGGUAAGGUAACGGCUUACCAAGGCAACGAUGCAUAGCCGACCUGAGAGGGUGAUCGGCCACACUGGAACUGAGACACGGUCCAGACUCCUACGGGAGGCAGCAGUAGGGAAUCUUCCGCAAUGGGCGAAAGCCUGACGGAGCAACGCUGCGUGAGUGAUGAAGGUCUUCGGAUCGUAAAACUCUGUUAUUAGGGAAGAACAUAUGUGUAAGUAACUGUGCACAUCUUGACGGUACCUAAUCAGAAAGCCACGGCUAACUACGUG